Molecule: ribosomal RNA, 497 nt
Filed under: uncultured bacterium
Lineage: Bacteria
Description: partial 16S ribosomal RNA
Rfam family: Bacterial small subunit ribosomal RNA
Source: RNAcentral
GAUGAACGCUGGCGGCGUGCCUAAUACAUGCAAGUCGAGCGAACAGACGAGGAGCUUGCUCCUCUGACGUUAGCGGCGGACGGGUGAGUAACACGUGGAUAACCUACCUAUAAGACUGGGAUAACUUCGGGAAACCGGAGCUAAUACCGGAUAAUAUAUUGAACCGCAUGGUUCAAUAGUGAAAGACGGUUUUGCUGUCACUUAUAGAUGGAUCCGCGCCGCAUUAGCUAGUUGGUAAGGUAACGGCUUACCAAGGCAACGAUGCGUAGCCGACCUGAGAGGGUGAUCGGCCACACUGGAACUGAGACACGGUCCAGACUCCUACGGGAGGCAGCAGUAGGGAAUCUUCCGCAAUGGGCGAAAGCCUGACGGAGCAACGCCGCGUGAGUGAUGAAGGUCUUCCGAUCGUAAAACUCUGUUAUUAGGGAAGAACAAAUGUGUAAGUAACUAUGCACGUCUUGACGGUACCUAAUCAGAAAGCCACGGCUAACUACGUG